RNAcentral lists this ribosomal RNA (993 nucleotides) under Rhizobium sp. RNAcentral's name for it is "bacterial SSU rRNA". It matches the Rfam family "Bacterial small subunit ribosomal RNA", at positions 36 to 1086 of the family's 1533-position model. Lineage: Bacteria; Pseudomonadati; Pseudomonadota; Alphaproteobacteria; Hyphomicrobiales; Rhizobiaceae. The record is from RNAcentral.
CCUGCGGCAGCCACCAUGCAGUCGACGCCCCGCAGGGGAGUGGCAGACGGGUGAGUAACGCGUGGGAACAUACCCUUUCCUGCGGAAUAGCUCCGGGAAACUGGAAUUAAUACCGCAUACGCCCUACGGGGGAAAGAUUUAUCGGGGAAGGAUUGGCCCGCGUUGGAUUAGCUAGUUGGUGGGGUAAAGGCCUACCAAGGCGACGAUCCAUAGCUGGUCUGAGAGGAUGAUCAGCCACAUUGGGACUGAGACACGGCCCAAACUCCUACGGGAGGCAGCAGUGGGGAAUAUUGGACAAUGGGCGCAAGCCUGAUCCAGCCAUGCCGCGUGAGUGAUGAAGGCCUUAGGGUUGUAAAGCUCUUUCACCGGAGAAGAUAAUGACGGUAUCCGGAGAAGAAGCCCCGGCUAACUUCGUGCCAGCAGCCGCGGUAAUACGAAGGGGGCUAGCGUUGUUCGGAAUUACUGGGCGUAAAGCGCACGUAGGCGGAUAUUUAAGUCAGGGGUGAAAUCCCAGAGCUCAACUCUGGAACUGCCUUUGAUACUGGGUAUCUUGAGUAUGGAAGAGGUAAGUGGAAUUCCGAGUGUAGAGGUGAAAUUCGUAGAUAUUCGGAGGAACACCAGUGGCGAAGCGGCUUACUGGUCCAUUACUGACGCUGAGGUGCGAAAGCGUGGGGAGCAAACAGGAUUAGAUACCCUGGUAGUCCACGCCGUAACGAUGAUGUUAGCCGUCGGGCAGUAUACUGUUCGGUGGCGCAGCUAACGCAUUAAACAUUCCGCCUGGGGAGUACGGUCGCAAGAUUAAAACUCAAAGGAUUUGACGGGGGCCCGCACAAGCGGUGGAGCAUGUGGUUUAAUUCCGAAGCACGCGCAGAUCCUUACCAGCUCUGACAUUCCGGGGUAUGGGCAUUGGAGACGAUGUCCUUCAGUAGCUGCCCCAGAACAGGGCUGCAUGCUGCCGUCAAGCUCCGUGUCGUGGAGAUGUUUGGUUAAGGC